GCGGUGGCCGGGGCUCCGCUUUCUCCCGUGGGGCCUGGGCUUGGGCCUUUGUGGGGCGGGGGUGUCCCGGCGGCUGAGGCAGGAUGGGGGCGGGCCGCUGACGUCCACGAGGGCGGAGCGCAGUUGUUUUCGCGGCCGCUGGCGUUUAGCUGGAGGUUCCGGGCGAGCGAGGGAGCGAGCGAGCGGGCGAGCGCGGCAUCAGGCCUGGAGGGGCCGCUUGUGGGCACCCGGUGCGAGCAGCUGACGGUGGGGCCAAACUCCCGGCCCGCGCCGGGCUUCAGGUCGCUUUUUGUUUUCCUCCCCGCUGUCGCAGGGCUGCAGCGAUGGGAAACGCUGCGCCUCCGAAGUUAACGCUUUUCCUGGGAUCCGACAGGCGGCGGGUGCGUGGUGCCCACGGCGAGUGUGGGCAGUGCACGGAGGCCAGAUCAGGCUCUGCUGUGGGUGUCCAAGGUCGACCCGGAACGCUUAGCGGAAUGCCUUGGUGACGUUACCGUAUUGUGCUUCUGUUUGUCUGUGGACCACAUGUGUGUCUGGUGCUCCUGGAGGAUCCUCUGAAGCUGGAGUGACUAAAGGUCCUAAGCUGCUCUGUGGAUGUCGGUAAUCAAACCUGGGUUCUGAGAGAGGAGUCAGCACUCCUAACCACUGAGCAUCUCUCCAGUCAUUAAGAAAAAAACAGCUGGUGGUGACACGCACUUUUAACCCCAGCAAUCUGAAGGCAAAGGCAAGUGGAUCUCUGUGAGUUUGGGGUCAGUCUUGUCUACGUAGUGACCUCCAGGCUAGGCAGGACUGAAUAGUAAAACUCUUUUUCUUUUUUUCGUUUUUA
This is a non-coding RNA of Myodes glareolus (Bank vole), 823 nucleotides long. The record is from RefSeq and is a predicted model, not a curated record. NCBI's taxonomy places the organism in Eukaryota, Metazoa, Chordata, Mammalia, Rodentia, Cricetidae.